GAUCUGUAAUGCGAUGUGGGGACGGAGAAGGUUAGCUCAGCCGGGUGUUGGAUGUCCCGGUUCAAGCGUGUAGUCGUAUCCCUUAGGCAAAUCCGGGGGAAUGAGAUGAGGCGUGAUAACGAGUCUGCUUGCAGACGAAGUGAGUGAUACCCUGCUUCCAGGAAAAGCCACUAAGCUUCAGUUACAGAUUGACCGUACCGCAAACCGACACUGGUGCGCGAGAUGAGUAUUCUAAGGCGCUUGAGAGAACUCUGGAGAAGGAACUCGGCAAAUUGACACCGUAACUUCGGAAGAAGGUGUGCCUUUAGUAGGUGAUCCAUUUACUUGGUGAGCCCAAUGAGGCCGCAGAGAAUCGGUGGCUGCAACUGUUUAUUAAAAACACAGCACUCUGCAAAGACGAAAGUCGACGUAUAGGGUGUGACUCCUGCCCGGUGCUGGAAGAUUAAAUGAUGGGGUGCAAGCUCUUGACUGAAGUCCCAGUAAACGGCGGCCGUAACUAUAACGGUCCUAAGGUAGCGAAAUUCCUUGUCGGGUAAGUUCCGACCUGCACGAAUGGAGUAAUGAUGGCCACACUGUCUCCUCCAGAGACUCAGCGAAGUUGAAAUGUUUGUGAUGAUGCAAUCUCCCCGCGGAAAGACGGAAAGACCCCAUGAACCUUUACUGUAGCUUUACAUUGGACUUUGAACAGAUCUGUGUAGGAUAGGUGGGAGGCUUUGAAGUAGGGACGCUAGUUUCUAUGGAGCCAACGUUGAAAUACCACCCUGGUGUGUUUGAGGUUCUAACCUUGUCCCGUUAUCCGGGAUGGGGACAGUGUAUGGUGGGCAGUUUGACUGGGGCGGUCUCCUCCCAAAGUGUAACGGAGGAGUUCGAAGGUACGCUAAAUACGGUCGGAAAUCGUGUUGAUAGUGCAUUGGCAUAAGCGUGCUUGACUGCGAGACUGACAAGUCGAGCAGGUACGAAAGUAGGACAAAGUGAUCCGGUGGUUCUGUAUGGAAGGGCCAUCGCUCAACGGAUAAAAGGUACUCUGGGGAUAACAGGCUGAUACCGCCCAAGAGUUCAUAUCGACGGCGGUGUUUGGCACCUCGAUGUCGGCUCAUCUCAUCCUGGGGCUGUAGCCGGUCCCAAGGGUAUGGCUGUUUGCCAUUUAAAGAGGUACGCGAGCUGGGUUUAAAACGUCGUGAGACAGUUUGGUCCCUAUCUUCCGUGGGCGCUGCAAGAUUGAGAGAGCCUGCUCCUAGUACGAGAGGACCGGAGUGGACGCACCUCUGGUGUAUCGGUUGUCACGCCAGUGGCAUCGCCGAGUAGCUAAGUGCGGAAGAGAUAACCGCUGAAAGCAUCUAAGCGGGAAACUCGUCUCAAGAUGAGUCUUGCCGGGGCCUAGAGCCCCCUGAAGGGUCGUUCGAGACCAGGACGUUGAUAGGCUGGGUGUGGAAGCGCAGUAAUGCGUUAAGCUAACCAGUACUAAUUGCCCGUGAGGCUUGACCU
This 1485-nucleotide ribosomal RNA is filed under the name metagenome. RNAcentral's name for it is "bacterial LSU rRNA". It matches the Rfam family "Bacterial large subunit ribosomal RNA", at positions 1446 to 2925 of the family's 2925-position model. The record is from RNAcentral.